GUGUUGGGGGUGUGGAGGGAAUUUUGUAGUGCCUGGUAUCUUGCUACGACAGUUUAAUCUUCCUUUUUUUUUUUUAUUAUUGAAGCCUUGUUGUCUCACCUUCUGUAGCUAAAUUUAUAUUCCAAAUGAAUGAAGCGGAUAGCGUGCUAUCUUUUUUCUCAAGAAAAAAAAUAUUGAAUUUGAAUUUAUAUUUGAAUUUGGUAUUGUAAUGUAAAGUUUGGAUUUUGAAAUUUAAAUUCAACUUCUAUAUUUGAAUCUAAUUGUACUUUUAAUGUUAAAACCAAACUUUAAUUUUGAUUUAAAUUGGAAUUUGGAAUUCGAUCUAAAAGUUUAUUUUGAAUUAGUGUAUUAUAUUUAAGAAAAAAUGAAUGUGAUUCAAAACUAAGUUUCCUAUGUUGUUUUCAAAUUAAAUUCGCAGUUUGAAUAUAAUCUAAAUUUCAAUUAUUAUUGUAGACAUUUGAAAAGUUCAUAAUAUCAUUAGCUGGAUAACACUAGCUAUAAAUUUUAUGAAGCAAAAUACUCAGUAAAAACCAAAAUGCUCUCUAUACGGCCAAAGUUUGUAUAGUGUAUUUAAGCAUAACUACUAGAGAAAAAAAAAAAAAAAGAAAAAAAAGCUGAAUGUAAGUCCUCUCUUCUCUAUUGUUAAAAAGUAAAAAUUUUCAAUAAAGAAUUCUCUUUCAAUGUUUGAUAAAUUUGACAUUUGACAUAGGCAAAACUUAAGUGAGGAACUCUUAUCUCGUUAAAGAGCUCUGUAUUGUUACAUUUUAUUAUUAAUAUGAAUUUUAUUAACCUUUGCAUAACCUAUACUUGCAUUUAUAGUUGUGCAUGUGAAUUUACCACUUCAUUUAGUUUGCAUUCAUUGUGAACUUAUAUGUGAACCUACUUCAAUAAGGUGAACAUAAUUAAGUUCAUUUACGUAUGUAAACUCCUAUAGCACUAACUAUGUAACCUAUGGGUUUGAUACUUUUGUAACCUAUACUUUUGAAACCUAUAUAUAGAGGCUUCUCUAUUCACUUCAACAUAACAUAAAAAAGAAAACUACAAUAUCUAUAUUCUACUUGAGAGAGAGAAGGUCAAAGAAAGGUGUUUCUUUUGGUGGAGCUUUGGGCUCAUCUACUUGCAGAGUUGGUGAAGCCACACGACGAGGGUCGAGCUGUUAUAUCCUGAAGGGGACAAGUCGGUGCUCUGCUGCAUCGGUUCAAAGACUUUGCCAACCGCAGAGGGCUUGAAUCUCCUUAAAGAGAGCGAGAUAUCCGUGCCUCGGCUUGAUCGACUCGUUGAUAUUUUUUAAAUUAUUUUGUAGCUAACCUCUAUAUUUUGAAUAUUUACACUAACAACCGUCAUGUGUCUAAACAAUAUGUAUCUUAAAAAAAAAAACAAGUAAUAAUUUUGGUAAAAAAAAAUCUAAUUAAUCUGCUUAAUUAAUUUGGGAUUGAUUACUUAAAAAGAAAUGCUAAGUCUAUAAUCCCAAAAAAUUUGUAUGAUUACGACCCUCACUUCAAAGGUCACAAUCAAAAUUAUAUAAUUCUUUUUGGAUUUUAAUAGGAAGAAAAAAGAAGAUAGAUAUGACUAGUCAGAAAAACUUGAUCUUUGGAUUGGCAAGUUGCAAGAAAAGCUUUAUAAUCAUUUCUCACUAAUCAUAUCACUCUUUUUAUUUUUUAAUAUUAGAAACCAAAAAAAUUGUAUAAACUCUAGGAAUAGAAUUAUAACUCUUGAAUUGAACAUUGUAAUCCUAAAACCCUUUUUGAUUUGUAGGCUGUAUUUAUCUUCAAGUAACGAAUUCAAAAUUAAUAAAGCAGAUCGAAUUUUUCUGCCGACCUUAUCAGUUAUUUUUUGAGAUAUGUGCCGUUUAGACACUUGACCGUAGAAGGAGAGCUCCUUAACGAGAUCUCGUUGUGGAACUCCCCAUUUAAAUUUUAUUCAUUUCAAGUGAAUGUUGGAUUCAAUCACUUUUUUAAUUAUGCCCUCAAAUUAUAAAGGCCUUUUUGCAAAACAAUCCACUAGUUUUGCAUUUUUGUAAAAAUAUGCCCUUUUUCUCGUUUUGUAGAUUUGAACCAAAAUUUUUAAAAUCUGACUAAAAUGCCUCUGUGUCUUAUAUAUCCCAUCUCUCUUUCCUCCACCCCCUUUUCUGGGCCAUGUCUUCACUACCAGUAGCAAUCUCGAGCGUUUAUCCCACCUUCACCACCUCCACAUAGAUUCUACUGUAACGUCCGCGUCAUGAGCACCUCACGAGCGAAAGGAACACGAUGAACUUAACUUGCUCAUUGUCAUAGCCACUCGAUGCUUCGCCGGAGACGGAGACAAAGGUGGCAUUGGAGGAGAGCAAUGAUCACUGAUGAUUGAGAAUGCUUUUGAAGCAUGUUCAUGACGAGCGUGGCCUAUAAUGACAAGCUGGUGGGGGUAGUAAGAAAAAAAAAUUUGUCGGAUGACACAAUAUUGCACUAUUUGUUAAACAAUUAUACUUUUUGAAUAUAUGUUGCACUAUUUUAUAGUUAAAUAUACGUAUCAAAUAGUAUAACUUUCUUAUUAAAUAGUACAACAUAUAUUCGAGUAGUGUAAUUUUUUUAAAUAUUGCAAAAAUUCACAAUCUGCCAGAUUCUUCUCUCUCAUAACCACAACCAUUUCGACGUCGCGGCCAUGCUCUCUCUAACCUGCUAUAUGAGCAUCAUCGACCAACAAUCAUC
This 2684-nucleotide long non-coding RNA is filed under the name Ananas comosus (pineapple). RNAcentral's name for it is "long non-coding RNA (ACOM_LNC033636)". The record is from RNAcentral. Lineage: Eukaryota; Viridiplantae; Streptophyta; Magnoliopsida; Poales; Bromeliaceae.